GUGAGGAAUAUUGCACAAUGGGCGAAAGCCUGAUGCAGCAACGCCGCGUGAGGGACGACGGCCUUCGGGUUGUAAACCUCUUUUAGUAGGGAAGAAGCGAAAGUGACGGUACCUGCAGAAAAAGCACCGGCUAACUACGUGCCAGCAGCCGCGGUAAUACGUAGGGUGCAAGCGUUAUCCGGAAUUAUUGGGCGUAAAGAGCUCGUAGGCGGUCUGUCGCGUCUGCUGUGAAAACUGGAGGCUCAACCUCCAGCCUGCAGUGGGUACGGGCAGACUAGAGUGCGGUAGGGGAGAUUGGAAUUCCUGGUGUAGCGGUGGAAUGCGCAGAUAUCAGGAGGAACACCGAUGGCGAAGGCAGAUCUCUGGGCCGUAACUGACGCUGAGGAGCGAAAGCGUGGGGAGCGAACAGGAUUAGAAACCCUAGUAGUCC
Molecule: ribosomal RNA, 430 nt
Filed under: uncultured bacterium
Lineage: Bacteria
Description: partial 16S ribosomal RNA
Rfam family: Bacterial small subunit ribosomal RNA
Source: RNAcentral